UACAGAGGGUGCAAACGUUGUUCGGAAUUACUGGGCGUAAAGCGCGUGUAGGCGGCUAUGCAAGUCGGAUGUGAAAUCCCGCGGCUCAACCGUGGAAGUGCACUCGAUACUGCAAAGCUAGAGUCCUGGAGAGGAAGGUGGAAUGCUUGGUGUAGAGGUGAAAUUCGUAGAUAUCAAGCGGAACACCGGUGGCGAAGGCGGCCUUCUGGACAGUGACUGACGCUGAGACGCGAAAGCGUGGGGAGCAAACAGG
This 253-nucleotide ribosomal RNA is filed under the name uncultured prokaryote. Its description in RNAcentral is "partial 16S ribosomal RNA". It matches the Rfam family "Bacterial small subunit ribosomal RNA", at positions 524 to 776 of the family's 1533-position model. The record is from RNAcentral.